This 72-nucleotide transfer RNA is filed under the name Camelus bactrianus (Bactrian camel). It matches the Rfam family "tRNA". Rfam says of the family: Transfer RNA (tRNA) molecules are approximately 80 nucleotides in length. Their secondary structure includes four short double-helical elements and three loops (D, anti-codon, and T loops). The record is from Rfam by way of RNAcentral. RNAcentral also lists the same sequence under 2 other names. Lineage: Eukaryota; Metazoa; Chordata; Mammalia; Artiodactyla; Camelidae.
AGGGUAAUAUCUCAGUGGUAGAGAGCAUGCUUAGCAUGCUUGAGGUCCUAAGUUCAAUCCCCAGUACCUCCA